Molecule: long non-coding RNA, 1993 nt
Organism: Triticum aestivum (bread wheat)
Lineage: Eukaryota; Viridiplantae; Streptophyta; Magnoliopsida; Poales; Poaceae
Exons: 3
Source: RefSeq, a predicted model, not a curated record
CCGCCGCCCAAUGCUUGCCCAAAUCGAACCCUCUAGAGUCCAGACCCAUCCUCCUCCUCCUCCGCCGCCGCCACCGCAGCCGCCGACAAGAGCCCCUCUGUCCUCGACAGCGCCCUCCACCGCCGACCCCCUCCGCCGACCUGGUGACCCCCACUGAGAUCGAUGCCGCCGGUGCGUCGAGAUCGGCCUCGCCUCCGUCCACACGGAUCUGGUGUACGUGGUCAACGUCGUCUCGCUCCCUGCGGCACCACCCUAGGACAGGUCGACGGCGCCUGUGCGUUGAGGUCGACGUCGCCUUGAUCCCCAGCACGAGAUCCGGCGACGAACUCCGGGCCUCUUGUCUCAAGUUAGCCGUGCCACCCCACGCCAUCGCGCUGCUCUUCUCCGCGACCCUCCACGCGGACGAGCGCUAUCGGGCUCCCCACCAUGUCUCUUACCACACCGACGGCGACCGCGGUGCCUGCUCCCCACUACGCUAGUACAACAUGUUGCUCAGAUCUGUCAUGGUGAAACGCGAUGCAGAUUUUCCCUCCCUUCCACCGAAUUACUACUGGGCUCCAAGUCUUUCUCAUUGCUGCCUCUGUAUUUUGCUUCCAAAUUGUUGCAGGUGCUAUCAGUGAAAGGAUUGGGGACUGGUUCUAGCAGUGGUAGGUUUGUUCCAGGAAUUCAUAAUGCUCAUGAUUUGCCACACUCAUGGCACUUACUACUUAAAAUGUUUCUCCAUUUAAUCAAGCAAGAAUAGUUCUUCAAAACAUUUUAUCGUUUUAAUCUUCAGACAUCUUGGUAGGAAGCAGCAUGGAAUGUUUGCAGUUUUAGUUUAGAUUGUACAUAAAGGCCUCUAGAUAUGUUCUCUGUCAGUCAAAACUUCUAAAAUGAUCUAUGCACCAUGGCAGUGGAUACUUCUAAAUGACUGCAACAUGUUCUAGUAAGCCUUAUUAGUAUAGGACGUUCAAUAAUCUUUCGGUGCUAAACAAGUGGAUGCUACAACUUAAUACUAAAUCAGUAAAACACUUUAGGAGUACUACAUGGACAAAAAGGUAUUUGUAUUGUGCUGUUUAUCCCCAUUGGUUGAUCGAUGUGAGAUCAUCUAGUUCAACUGUCAUCACACACAUAUACUACUACAUGGAAGAAAACAACUAGCUAGAGAACUUGUUUACGCCUCCUUUCAUUUUGCUGCAAGACAGACUGAAAGUGGACCACUCUUCUAGAGUUUAAAUGGUACUCCCUCUGUCCCAUAAUGUAAGUAUUGUCAAAAAACGUCUUACAUUAUGAGACGGAGGUAGUAUAAUAUGUUGGUUUUCUACGGUUCCUUUAUCUCCAAUCUAGUUUUUACUCAAUAUAAGUUACUAUUUCAUAAGAAUAACAUGAAGCACUGAUUCUUAUAUGUUCCAUGUAUUAUGACAUGACAAGUAGUCACUAGCAGCUAAGCAAAGGCUACAACAUGCUCGGAGGAGAAGUUUGAAUGGAGGCAGGGAAUACACUUUUUUCUGUGAAUGCAGAGAAUACACUUUGUUUCCCAAAGAUACACUGGGUGAUCUACAAGCUUCUGAAGGUUUGGAUGAUCUACAAGUUAAGGCUUGGAUCACCUACAAGCCGUUGAAUGUUUGCAAGACCUACAAUUAAGUUGGGUGAUCUACAAGCUUCUGAAGGUUUGGAUGAUCUACAAGUUAAGGCUUGGAUCACCUACAAGCUGUUGAAUGUUUGCAAGACCUACAAUUAAGUUGGUGGAGUGGUUAUGUAAUGUACCUUGUUUGUUGAACCUGGUGACAUUGGCACGUGCUGCUCAUUUUGGUGGUUGUUUUGGCACAUAAGCCACUGUAUGCUCUUUUUGGUUGGGUGACGCACCUAGAAACAUAUGUACUCCUCCCUUUGUGGCACCACUUCAUUUUUUAUUGUGUGGCACACCUAGAAACAUAUAUGUGCUCCUUUUGUGGCACAACCUGUAUAUAUAUGGUUGUCAUGUUUCUUAAAUGAAGUUUAAGGUUUUUGAUGA